AAGAUGGAGGAACUUGCAGGAAAUUUAUCAUAAAAUGGUACCAUGACGCGGUGACUGGAAACUGUGCAAGAUUCUGGUAUGGAGGUUGUGGUGGAAAUGAAAACAGAUUUGAUUCGCAGGAAGAAUGUGAAAAGGUUUGCUCUCCUGUGCUCGUCAAACCCAAAGUCAUAGCUGCAAUUGGGACCUAAGCGUGGCCCCCGUGACACAUACCUCUUGAGGAAGAAGGAGGCAGCCACUGCAAGUCGUCUCUGUAGAAGCCCUCGGUGUAGACCGCCUUGCACUGUGCCGUUUCAUGCUUUGAGUUACACUCGGACUUGGGAGGAAACGUCUGCCGCAUGACUAUCCAUAUGGUGCUAACUGUGUCUGUGGACCCAGCGCUCUCUGUCUCUAGGCAGUUACAUCGUAUACUUUGAACGUUGCGCAACAGUUACCCACUGCUGGUGUUUCUGUGAAUAUCCCCAUAAAGUCAGAUUCCCUCUGGAAAAAUAACCCCCAACUUCACAGCUACUCUGUAUCCUUCCGCUUGGUUCAUUCCUGCCCCGCCUUUCAUUAAGCAUGAUUUUAGAUGGAAAGCCUGUUGUAUGGAGAAUAAGCAAGAGUCCACGUGUUCAUGUACCACCAAUUUCCUGGAUUCGAUUGCGAGCUAAUUUUCUUUUUUCUAAAGCUUCUAAGGAACAAUCUAGGGAGGCAGAAGCCAACUCCCUUAAUCUUUGUGCGCCAUUGCGGGACCAAUGCCUUCAUUAAAGGAUGAAAAGAAAGUCAUAAUAGAGAAUAUUUUUGGCAUUCCUCUAAUGUUGUGCGUGUGUUUCAUUUUUUAUUUUUUUUUUGUGCAGGGGGGUUUAAUUUUAAUUUUAAAAUUUUUAGGAAAUUUAUACAAAGGAAACUUUUUAAUAAAGUAUAUUGAAAGUGU
RNAcentral lists this long non-coding RNA (910 nucleotides) under Sus scrofa (pig). RNAcentral's name for it is "lncRNA (ENSSSCG00050067489.1)". The record is from RNAcentral. Lineage: Eukaryota; Metazoa; Chordata; Mammalia; Artiodactyla; Suidae.